UUUUAUGAGAGUUUGAUCCUGGCUCAGGACGAACGCUGGCGGCGUGCCUAAUACAUGCAAGUCGAACGCUUCUUUUUCCACCGGAGCUUGCUCCACCGGAAAAAGAAGAGUGGCGAACGGGUGAGUAACACGUGGGUAACCUGCCCAUCAGAAGGGGAUAACACUUGGAAACAGGUGCUAAUACCGUAUAACAAUCAAAACCGCAUGGUUUUGAUUUGAAAGGCGCUUUCGGGUGUCGCUGAUGGAUGGACCCGCGGUGCAUUAGCUAGUUGGUGAGGUAACGGCUCACCAAGGCCACGAUGCAUAGCCGACCUGAGAGGGUGAUCGGCCACAUUGGGACUGAGACACGGCCCAAACUCCUACGGGAGGCAGCAGUAGGGAAUCUUCGGCAAUGGACGAAAGUCUGACCGAGCAACGCCGCGUGAGUGAAGAAGGUUUUCGGAUCGUAAAACUCUGUUGUUAGAGAAGAACAAGGAUGAGAGUAACUGUUCAUCCCUUGACGGUAUCUAACCAGAAAGCCACGGCUAACUACGUGCCAGCAGCCGCGGUAAUACGUAGGUGGCAAGCGUUGUCCGGAUUUAUUGGGCGUAAAGCGAGCGCAGGCGGUUUCUUAAGUCUGAUGUGAAAGCCCCCGGCUCAACCGGGGAGGGUCAUUGGAAACUGGGAGACUUGAGUGCAGAAGAGGAGAGUGGAAUUCCAUGUGUAGCGGUGAAAUGCGUAGAUAUAUGGAGGAACACCAGUGGCGAAGGCGGCUCUCUGGUCUGUAACUGACGCUGAGGCUCGAAAGCGUGGGGAGCAAACAGGAUUAGAUACCCUGGUAGUCCACGCCGUAAACGAUGAGU
RNAcentral lists this ribosomal RNA (842 nucleotides) under Enterococcus faecium. Its description in RNAcentral is "bacterial SSU rRNA". It matches the Rfam family "Bacterial small subunit ribosomal RNA", at positions 1 to 814 of the family's 1533-position model. The record is from RNAcentral. Lineage: Bacteria; Bacillati; Bacillota; Bacilli; Lactobacillales; Enterococcaceae.